AGCUCCAAUAGCGUAUAUUAAAGUUGCUGCGGUUAAAAAGCUCGUAGUUGGAUCUCAGUCUCGAUCGGACGGUCCAUCGCAUGAUGGUUACUGUACUAUCGGACAUUUGGCCGCGUUCUCGUGUAUCCUCUUCAUUGAGUGUACUCGAGGAGCGGCACGUUUACUUUGAAAAAAUUAGAGUGCUCAAAGCAGGCUUUCCGCCUGAAUCUUCGUGCAUGGAAUGAUGGAAUAGGGCCUCGGUUCUAUUUUGUUGGUUUCCGGAACUCGAGGUAAUGAUUAAGAGGGACGGACGGGGGCAUUCGUAUUGCGACGUUAGAGGUGAAAUUCUUAGAUCGUCGCAAGACGAACUACUGCGAAAGCAUUUGCCAAGAAUGUUUUCA
RNAcentral lists this ribosomal RNA (380 nucleotides) under uncultured eukaryote. RNAcentral's name for it is "SSU rRNA". It matches the Rfam family "Eukaryotic small subunit ribosomal RNA", at positions 587 to 972 of the family's 1831-position model. The record is from RNAcentral.